This 412-nucleotide ribosomal RNA is filed under the name uncultured bacterium. RNAcentral describes it as "bacterial SSU rRNA". It matches the Rfam family "Bacterial small subunit ribosomal RNA", at positions 917 to 1333 of the family's 1533-position model. The record is from RNAcentral.
GGGCCCGCACAAGCGGUGGAGCAUGUGGUUUAAUUCGAUGAUACGCGAGGAACCUUACCAGGUCUUAAAUGCAUAACGAACGAUUGGGAAACCAAUCUUUCUUCGGACGGAAUGCAAGGUGCUGCAUGGUUGUCGUCAGCUCGUGCCGUGAGGUGUCAGGUUAAGUCCUAUAACGAGCGCAACCCCUAUUCUUAGUUGCCAGCGGUUCGGCCGGGGACUCUAAGAAAACUGCCAGUGCAAGCUGUGAGGAAGGUGGGGAUGACGUCAAAUCAUCACGGCCCUUACGACCUGGGCCACACACGUGCUACAAUGGUAGGUACAAAGGGCAGCCACUUGGCGACAAGGAGCUAAUCUCUAAAACCGAUCUCAGUUCGGAUCGCAGUCUGCAACUCGACUGCGUGAAGCUGGAAUC